RNAcentral lists this ribosomal RNA (468 nucleotides) under uncultured bacterium. Its description in RNAcentral is "partial 16S ribosomal RNA". It matches the Rfam family "Bacterial small subunit ribosomal RNA", at positions 28 to 507 of the family's 1533-position model. The record is from RNAcentral.
GACGAACGCUGGCGGCGUGCUUAACACAUGCAAGUCGAACGGAAAGGCCCUACUUGUGUGGGGUUCUCGAGUGGCGAACGGGUGAGUAACACGUGAGUAACCUGCCCUUGACUUUGGGAUAACUUCAGGAAACUGGGGUUAAUACCGGAUAGGAGCUCCUGCUGCAUGGUGGGCGUUGGAAAGUCUCGGCGGUUGGGGAUGGACGCGCGGCUUAUCAGCUUGUUGGUGGGGUAGUGGCUUACCAAGGCAUUGACGGGUAGCCGGCCUGAGAGGGUGACCGGCCACAUUGGGACUGAGAUACGGCCCAGACUCCUACGGGAGGCAGCAGUGGGGAAUAUUGCACAAUGGGCGGAAGCCUGAUGCAGCAGCGCCGCGUGCGGGAUGACGGCCUUCGGGUUGUAAACCGCUUUCGCCUGUGACCAAGCGUGAGUGACGGUAAUGGGUAAAGAAGCACCGGCUAACUACGUG